RNAcentral lists this ribosomal RNA (216 nucleotides) under uncultured fungus. RNAcentral describes it as "partial small subunit ribosomal RNA". The stretch from base 92 to 216 matches the Rfam family "Eukaryotic small subunit ribosomal RNA", at positions 738 to 864 of the family's 1831-position model. The record is from RNAcentral. Lineage: Eukaryota; Fungi.
GACCUGGCCGGGUGGUCCGCUUAACGGCGUGUACUGUCUGGCUGGGCCUUACCUCUUGGUGAGCCGGCGUAUGCUUUUUUAGUGUGCGUCGGGGAACCAGGACUUUUACCUUGAGAAAAUUAGAGUGUUCAAAGCAGGCCUAUGCCCGAAUACAUUAGCAUGGAAUAAUAAAAUAGGACGUGCGGUUCUAUUUUGUUGGUUUCUAGAGUCGCCGUA